RNAcentral lists this ribosomal RNA (495 nucleotides) under uncultured bacterium. RNAcentral's name for it is "partial 16S ribosomal RNA". It matches the Rfam family "Bacterial small subunit ribosomal RNA", at positions 28 to 507 of the family's 1533-position model. The record is from RNAcentral.
GAUGAACGCUGGCGGCGUGCCUAAUACAUGCAAGUAGAACGCUGAAGGAGGAGCUUGCUCUUCUGGAUGAGUUGCGAACGGGUGAGUAACGCGUAGGUAACCUGCCUGGUAGCGGGGGAUAACUAUUGGAAACGAUAGCUAAUACCGCAUGACAACAGUUAUUGCAUGAUAACUGUUUAAAAGGGGCAACUGCUCCACUACCAGAUGGACCUGCGUUGUAUUAGCUAGUUGGUGAGGUAACGGCUCACCAAGGCGACGAUACAUAGCCGACCUGAGAGGGUGAUCGGCCACACUGGGAUUGAGACACGGCCCAGACUCCUACGGGAGGCAGCAGUAGGGAAUCUUCGGCAAUGGACGGAAGUCUGACCGAGCAACGCCGCGUGAGUGAAGAAGGUUUUCGGAUCGUAAAGCUCUGUUGUAAGAGAAGAACGAGUGUGAGGGUGGAAAGUUCACACUGUGACGGUAUCUUACCAGAAAGGGACGGCUAACUACGUG